UAUUUCUCUCUCUCUCUCUUGCCGCCGCACUACACUUCUCACUUCCGUACCACCUGCCCUGCCUCCACCACGCAAUGGACUAAGCUUCUCUAUGUCUUCGUCCUCAGCGACUCCCUUCUGGGCCGCGACGCAUAAGUCGUCCCCAAGACUGAGUGCGUCAAAGAGCCGGCGGUGGCUGUUCUCCGCGGUUACAUCAUUUGAAGGCAUCUUCAGAUUCAGAUCUAGAUCUAGAUCUAGCGUGAGAGGCGAUGGCGGCUUCAGAUUCGACCAACACAUCGCCUGUUCUACAUCCAGCGGCGGAGGUGGCGGUAGUGACGACUUCAAAUCGACAUCUCUCCCCUCAAAAUGCUAAUGCCUUUGAAAUUAAAAAGGCUUACUACAAACUCUCGCCGAAAUAAUAAGCUCCCCGUUCUCUAUUACUCCUUAAGAGAAUAGAUAGACUUUGCCUUUGAUUUGCCCAAAGCCAAAGCGGUCAGCGUCUCCCCUCGUAGCGGGCGCCGUCAUCUCCAGCACAGCUGUGUUGUAUCAUCAAAAUAUUCGCCCAGAUGUUGCUCUCGAGUUGGCCUGGAUGAACAAUAUGAUAGACUUUGCCUUCCCUUAUCUAUUGCAGUACAAACGAAAAUGAUAGAGUUAAGACCAAGAGUGAGUAGCGGUUCCCUCUUCCUAGAGAGCCUGUUUGCGUGGUGUGUGAGAAGUAUGGGGAGUACAUUUGCAAUGAGACUGAAGAUGACAUAUGUAGCAAUGAUUGCAAAGCUUAGCUUUUUGAAAACCUUAAGCCAAGGACCAAAAGAUGAGCUUAAAGAGCAAACCAGGCAAGAGUGAAGCCCUGGAGGACCAAAC
This is a long non-coding RNA of Ipomoea triloba (trilobed morning glory), 840 nucleotides long. RefSeq lists it as uncharacterized. Lineage: Eukaryota; Viridiplantae; Streptophyta; Magnoliopsida; Solanales; Convolvulaceae. The transcript has 5 exons. The record is from RefSeq and is a predicted model, not a curated record.